This 433-nucleotide unclassified non-coding RNA is filed under the name Melitaea cinxia (Glanville fritillary). RNAcentral describes it as "misc RNA ENSMCXG00005019913.1". The record is from RNAcentral. Lineage: Eukaryota; Metazoa; Arthropoda; Insecta; Lepidoptera; Nymphalidae.
AGAUCUCGAUAAAAUUUAUAUGUGACCACAUGAUAAACAUCAGCUUUCGAUUAAAGUAAAAAUUAUCAAAAUCGAUACACCCAGUAAAAAGUUAUUGCGGAUUUUCAAGAGUUUCCCUCGAUUUCUCUGGGAUCCCAUCAUCAGAUUCUGGUUUCCUUAUUAUGGUACCAAACUAGGGAUAUCCCCUUUCCAACAAAAAAAGAAUUAUCAAAAUCGGUACACCCAGUAGAAAGUUAUGUGGUAUAAUACAACGUAGAUCGACGAAAAAAGCGUCAAGUAAAAACGCAUUAUUAGAUAUAACUCGAAAAGUAGUUGUUAGAUCUCAAAUAAAUUUAAAUGGGACCAAUCGGCACACACCACCUUUCGAUUAAAACAAAAUUUGUCGAAAUCGGUCUACCUGGUCAAAAGUUCUGAUGUAAGAUACAUAAGAAAA